CGACGUGAGGAACCUGCCUUCCAGAGGGGGACAACAGUUGGAAACGACUGCUAAUACCGCAUGAUACAUUUGAAUCGCAUGGUUUGAAUGUCAAAGAUUUAUCGCUGGAAGAUGGCCUCGCGUCUGAUUAGCUAGUUGGUGAGGUAACGGCCCACCAAGGCGACGAUCAGUAGCCGGACUGAGAGGUUGGCCGGCCACAUUGGGACUGAGAUACGGCCCAGACUCCUACGGAAGGCAGCAG
This 241-nucleotide ribosomal RNA is filed under the name uncultured bacterium. RNAcentral's name for it is "partial 16S ribosomal RNA". It matches the Rfam family "Bacterial small subunit ribosomal RNA", at positions 113 to 354 of the family's 1533-position model. The record is from RNAcentral.